RNAcentral lists this ribosomal RNA (253 nucleotides) under uncultured bacterium. RNAcentral describes it as "partial 16S ribosomal RNA". It matches the Rfam family "Bacterial small subunit ribosomal RNA", at positions 524 to 776 of the family's 1533-position model. The record is from RNAcentral.
UACGUAGGGUGCAAGCGUUGUCCGGAAUUAUUGGGCGUAAAGAGCUCGUAGGUGGCCUGUCGCGUCGGCUGUGAAAACUCGGGGCUCAACUCCGAGCUUGCAGUCGAUACGGGCAGGCUAGAGUUCGGCAGGGGAGACUGGAAUUCCUGGUGUAGCGGUGAAAUGCGCAGAUAUCAGGAGGAACACCAGUGGCGAAGGCGGCCUUCUGGACCAAUACUGACGCUCAUGCACGAAAGCGUGGGGAGCAAACAGG